This 425-nucleotide ribosomal RNA is filed under the name uncultured bacterium. RNAcentral's name for it is "partial 16S ribosomal RNA". It matches the Rfam family "Bacterial small subunit ribosomal RNA", at positions 354 to 796 of the family's 1533-position model. The record is from RNAcentral.
GUGAGGAAUAUUGGACAAUGGAGGAAACUCUGAUCCAGCCAUGCCGCGUGAGUGAUGAAGGCCUUCGGGUUGUAAAGCUCUUUCGGGUGUGAAAAUGAUGAUGGUAACACCAGAAGAAGCCCCGGCUAACUCCGUGCCAGCAGCCGCGGUAAUACGGAGGGGGCGAGCGUUGUUCGGAAUCACUGGGCGUAAAGCGUGCGUAGGCGGUUAUACAAGUCAGGAGUGAAAUCCCAGGGCUCAACCUUGGAAUUGCUUUUGAGACUGUAUGACUAGAGAUCUAGAGAGGUUGGGGGAAUUCCGAGUGUAGAGGUGAAAUUCGCAGAUAUUCGGAGGAACACCAGUGGCGUAGGCGCCCAACUGGCUAGAUACUGACGCUGAGGCACGAAAGCGUGGGGAGCAAAAGGGAUUAGAUACCCUUGUAGUCC